UAAAUAAAAGUAGUGCGAGUGCGAGGAAAUAAAUAAAAGUAAAGCGAGUGCGAGAAAUAAAUGAAAGUAAAGCGAGUGCGAGGAAAUAAAUAAAAGUAAAGCGAGUGCGAGGAAAUAAAUAAAAGUAAAGCGAGUGCGAGGAAAUAAAUAAAAUAAAGCGAGUGCGGGAAAAUAAAUAAGAUAAAGACAAGUAAUAAAAACCUGCUCCAAUCGGAGGGUUGAAU
Molecule: long non-coding RNA, 224 nt
Filed under: Lathyrus oleraceus (garden pea)
Lineage: Eukaryota; Viridiplantae; Streptophyta; Magnoliopsida; Fabales; Fabaceae
Description: Pisum sativum (pea) long non-coding RNA (PSAT_LNC018253)
Source: RNAcentral